CCUACGGGCGGCUGCAGUCGAGAAUAAUGCACAAUGGGGGAAAGCCUGAAGGAGCGACGCCGCGUGGGGGAAUGAAGGUCUUCGGAUUGUAAACUCCUGUCAUGCGGGAGCAAAUUAAAAAGAUAGUACCACAAGAGGAAGAGACGGCUAACUCUGCGCCAGCAGCCGCGGUAAUACAGAGGUCUCAAGCGUUGUUCGGAAUGACUGGGCGUAAAGCGUGCGUAGGCUGUUUCGUAAGUCGUGUGUGAAAGGCGCGGGCUCAACCCGCGAACGGCACAUGAUAAUGCGAGACUAGAGUAAUGGAGGGGGAACCGGAAUUCUCGGUGUAGCAGUGAAAUGCGUAGAUAUCGAGAGGAACACUCGUGGCGAAGGCGGGUUCCUGACCAUUAACUGACGCUGAGGCACGAAGGCCAGGGGAGCGAAAGGGAUUAGAUACCCCUGUAGUC
This 446-nucleotide ribosomal RNA is filed under the name uncultured bacterium. Its description in RNAcentral is "partial 16S ribosomal RNA". It matches the Rfam family "Bacterial small subunit ribosomal RNA", at positions 338 to 795 of the family's 1533-position model. The record is from RNAcentral.